AUUUGAGCAAUUCAAUUUGUGUGCGUCUUAGCGGGCGUGCGUGCGCAAGCGUACGUGUUGUCUGUGACGUAACUACAAUAAAUCUACAUACAUACGAUAUAUUUGUUCUACGUAUGAUUGCGUAUGCGAUUGCGACUGCGUUUGCGAUACUUUGUUUAGCAAGCGAUAGCGAUGGCGAUAACUAAUAAUCAGUUCGAUCAACUAGCAUAGAGUUACAAGUACUAAGAGUGAAUACACAAAUAGCUACAAUUAAUAAAGCUUAAUUACACGCGUUGAUAAAAGCAUACACACACACACACAGGCAGACAGAUUUCAAUUACUAUGGAAUUAUUUGCUUGGUUUCAAACAAAACUACCGCUGAGUCGAUCCCACUCACCUGCGUCCAGGUCACUACUAUCACCAUUACCAUCAUUGGCAUUCAGCUGUGAUCGCUGCUCAGAGUCAGCAACGUCUUCUUCAACAAUAUUACCUGUCGACGAGGGCGUAUUCUUGCAGCCGAACCACCAGUGCGCCGUGGGCCUUGGGAAUGGCGGCGUUGCCGUAUCCACCUGUUCAAAAGAGAUCGGGUAACUGCAGGUCGUUCAACUCAAGUGAGCUGCCAAGCUGAUUGCAAGUCCCUGGAGAAUCGCUGUAAACAAAUAAGAAAACAAUCAGAAUCAAGUGCGACAGGCACUUAACUGGCUCCCAUUGUCCAUCAUAAAGAGCGCUAAAGUGGGCGUGGGCGUGGAUGGCAGUGCCCUGCCCGCCCCAAGGGUCUUCCCGCUUCCGCCUUUGGGGCACACCCCACAGCCACUUGAAACUUGUGUGUGUGUGUGUGUGUGAAAACCGCUUGAUUAAAUGCACAUUUGAUUGUCACUGGACGCCGCGGAUCCUGCAGGACGAAAUGGACGCUGGGGCAUCAGUAACCAAAGAAAUUGAAGCCGCAGAGCAGCUUAUCCGGCCGGCGGAUGCGCAAGAUGCCAAACUGGAAGACG
Molecule: small RNA, 974 nt
Filed under: Drosophila mojavensis
Lineage: Eukaryota; Metazoa; Arthropoda; Insecta; Diptera; Drosophilidae
Description: GI25692
Source: RNAcentral